This is an RNA transcript of Myxocyprinus asiaticus (Chinese sucker), 4227 nucleotides long. It is a transcript of the gene named ubiquitin carboxyl-terminal hydrolase 37, with no coding region annotated. The transcript has 25 exons. NCBI's taxonomy places the organism in Eukaryota, Metazoa, Chordata, Actinopteri, Cypriniformes, Catostomidae. The record is from RefSeq and is a predicted model, not a curated record.
CUAAAUGUUCACAUUCCCGCCAUCAUCGGCUGCUCGUGGGGCUCGAGCGCAGAUAACAUCAUACCCGGCAAAACUCACGCACACCGACACUGCUCCACAUUGAAAGGAUAUAUUCAUUCUCCGGCGCUUUUUUUAAGGAAUCACUCUCCCGCAGGGCUUUUGUUGAAGAUCACUGGCCUCAUCUGUUUAUCCUCGAUUGUGUCCCGAGACGAAAUUUUGCGCCCCUCAUUCACUAAUGGCUGUCGCAGUGCCCAAGAUGACCAGCGGUGGCACUGUCCGCAUCCGCAUCAGGUGUGGGGAGUUGGGGACCACCAAAUGGAAAGAGGGAAUCUUUGAAAUCCACGAGAGGGACAACAAAAUAAACCUGUUAGUGAAGUUUAGCAGUGGUGGUGCUCCAAGGAGCUUUCAGCUGAAUCACAAUGUAAAGCAGGUUACGUGGGCUCCAAUGCACGGCCCGAACCGUGUGACUUUGACCCUGAAAGAUGCGAGUGUCGUCAUGAUGGACAAACUGCCAAUGUUGGUUGCAAAGAAAAUGAGGGAAUAUCUUGACAUGGUGAAGCAUGGGAAAACCGUUUUAAAGACAAACCAGGGAAGUGCCAGUUUUGGAUUAGUCCUUGGGAAUCGUACAUCACAGAAUGACUCUGGCCUCUCUCAGUCAGAAAAACAGACCACACCAAAGCGCCCGAGUCUUGACAUCAGAGAGGACGGCACACCCCGGAAGCCUCUCGGGAGUCCCAGUCGGGUAACUUCCACACCUAGCCGCAAUGGACUCUCAGAAAACAGGAGUGAGAAGAGGAAGAGGCUCAUGAACUCUGAUGGUGACAUGACUGAGGACUAUCCCAAAGAGAAUGACUCAUCUAGUAACAAUAAGGCCAUCACAGACACGUCUAGAAAGUUUCUGCUUAGCUGCAAAGAGAAGCUCAAGCAGUCAGAGGAGAACCGAGCAUCAGCUCCACUCAUUUCUGCCCCUCUUCAGCCAACAUCCUUUUAUGGGAGCAGAACAGGAACUAAAGACUACACACAAACCCAUUUAUUUUUGGACAGACCCAGCGGUACAGGCCAGAGUCCCUCUGCCAAAAGAAGCCUGAUUUUACCCAAUCACUCAACUCCCUUUAAAAAAGUGCGUCCAACUUUGGACUACGGUGGUUGGAACAAACCGAGGCUGUCCACAUUGGCCCAGCCACAACCUCCACUACAAGGAUUCUCCAACCUUGGGAACACGUGUUACAUGAACGCCAUCCUCCAGUCACUUUUCAGCCUGCCUUCAUUUUCAAAUGACCUGUUGAAGCAAGGAAUUCCAUGGAGGAGGGUCCCAAUCAAUGCUCUUCUGAGGCGUUUUGCUCACCUGCUGGCUAAGAAAGACAUCUCCUCUCCAGAGGUGAAGAAAGAUCUUUUGCGGCGAGUGAAGAAUGCCAUUUCCUCAACAGCUGAGCGUUUCUCUGGCUACAUGCAGAAUGAUGCCCAUGAGUUCCUGAGUCAGUGCUUGGACCAGCUGAAGGAGGAUGUGGAGAAGAUCAACAAAAGCUGGAAGAAUGAGCCCUCGGUCUGGGAGGAGCCACAGAGCACACGGUUAGCAGAGGAGGCAGAUACCUCACGAAUUUACACCUGCCCAGUAACGGUCAACAUGGAGUUUGAAGUGCAGCACACCAUAACGUGUAAAAGCUGUGGAGAGGUGGUGACAAAGCGAGAACAGUUCAAUGACCUGUCCAUCGACCUGCCUCGCAGAAAGAAAACGCUCCCUCUGAGAUCCAUACAGGAUUCUCUAGAUCUUUUCUUCAGGAUGGAGGAGAUUGAGUAUUCCUGUGAAAAGUGCUGCGGAAAAACAGCGACUGUCUCGCACAAAUUCAGCCGACUUCCCAGGGUACUGAUCCUCCAUCUCAAACGGUACAGCUACAACACCCAACUGUCUUUGAACAGCAAGCUGGGCCAGCAAGUGCUGAUCCCCAAAUAUCUCACGCUGCUCUCCCACUGCACAGACGCCACACGCCCUCCCCUCGGCCUCGGCUGGAGUGCCCAGACAGCCCUCUCCAGAACACUGAAGGUGUCACAGUCGGUCAAUUCUUCAACACUACGAAUAGGUUCUCAAAAGCCAGAGAGUUCAGCCAGUAUGUUGUGUGACUCUGAUAGUGAGGAGGAGCUCGUCAGAAAAGUUGGUCGCAAACUUCAACCAGAAGAUGAUAGGAUGGAAGAGGUACAGCACAGCAGGCAGGUAGAUCACUCCGAGUUUAAUGCCAUUAAUGAUGACGAGAUGCUGGCAGCUGUGCUGGAGAUGAGUCAUGACACCAGUCUCUCCGCAUGCCCUGACGACGAGCCAACCAGCAGUCCUGACACAGGAUUUGGAGAUACUGAUGGCCAGGAUCUGACUCAUCAUUUGGACCUGCUGGAUGGAGAGAAACAACCUCCUGAUGCUUUGGAGUCUCUGGAUCUGACAAUGGAUGAGAACAAGGAGAACCAGACCCCUGAUGGUGUGCAGGGAGAAUUGGACUGGGUGAAGCAGUACAGCUUAGACCAGGAGCGUGAGGAACAGGAGCUGCAGCAGGCCCUCGCCCAGAGCCUGCAGGAACAUGAGGCGAGAGAGAUGAGAGAAGAGGAUGAUCUGAAGAGAGCCACUGAGCUCAGCCUGCAAGAGUUCAAUAACUCUUUGCCUGAGCUGCUGUGCUCUGAUGAUGACUCUGGGAAUGAAGAUGGUCUGGAUAUGGAGUACAGUGAAGCUGAGGCUGAAGAGCUCAAGAAGAAUGCUGAGACUGGAGAACUUCCCAACUCUUUCAGACUCAUCAGUGUGGUCAGUCACAUUGGUAGCAGUUCUUCGUCAGGGCAUUACAUAAGUGAUGUCUAUGACAUGAAGAAACAGUCCUGGCUCACAUACAAUGAUCUGGAUGUCUCCCGCACACAAGAGUCUACCGUCCAGAGAGAUCGAGACAGGAGUGGAUAUAUCUUCUUCUACAUGCACAAAGAUGUUUUCGAGGAGCUGUCUGAGCUGGAAAAGGCAGGAGGGAAUGGUGACGCUGGCCGAACUGUGCUGCAGCCGUUAUGAGUCUCACCCCUCUCAACAUCCCAUCCAGGCUGAUCCUUCUACUGAUGAGAAGCUAAACUGAGCCAAGGGUUUGAGCAGGUUCAUGGAAGAGAUGGAAUUUGUUUGGAAAUUGUGUGUAUGGUGUUCUCUGAAACAGUGGUAUAAGCUCAAAAUAAGUGCUUAGUAUUCAGUCUUUGACUUCCUUAAACACAUUUUAAAAUAAAAUUUAUUUAGAAAAAAAAAAAACUGCUUGUUUCAUGAUAUGAUACAAGAACCAGAUGUUUCUAGUAGUGUAUUUCAGCAGCAAUCUUGGUUUUUCCAUGGCCAGCAAGUCCAUACAUUUCUGUAAAGAAUCCAUCCAAUGUCUAUUGUCACGUGUCCUAUGUACAUCUCUUUGUAAGUGGUUCGAGGUGGCGGCCAGUUAGCCUGUUGAACUCACUGAGAAUAUAACUUUCUUUCUGUAGCAUCUGUCAACAAAAGAUAAACAUACUUUGUGACACAUGCAGAUAUAUGUUUAUUACACGGCUCUCUGGAGUACUUGGUCAAUCGUGGCAUUCUGUGGUCAAAUAUUGUACAUUAACCACUAAACUGUAUAAUUUAGUGUUGUUUCAGGCAACAGAUGUUUUUUGUAUAACUCUGCUUUUCAUAUUAGAUUUGUUUUUAAUUCAAGUAAAUAUUUUGUCCAUUUUUAUAUAUAUAUAUAUAAUUUAUUUGGGGAAAAAGCAAGGUAAUGUACAAUCAGCCAGUCUUUAUCACAAAAUAAACCCAGACAAAGUGAUAUUUUUGUUUAUUUGAGGUAUUUUUUUUUUCUGGUAAUGACUGGCUGAUUGUACAUUACCUGGUCGAUUCUUACAAAACCUGUCAAAGAAAUGUCUAAAUGUAUUUAACCCUGUAUCGAUACAAAAGAAAUCAAUUAUAUUUUACAGUUAGGAUCAUUACGAUUUUUUGCAUUGACAAAUUAUUUUCAGGACACUUAAGCACAUUUACCCCGCAAUUCUCAUUACCACAACAUAGCCGGACAUUUCACUAUACCCGUUGUUUUCAAUAAUGAUUUUCACUACUGUAUCAGACAUGUUUUUCUGUAUUACAAUAAAAAAUGCUGUUUUUGUGCCAUGAUUUAUUUUUUUAAUUAAAAUAAGCAAAAAUGAAAGGCAGAACUGAGGGAGUACUACUAAGUUUCAAUACUUUACAAUUAAAUUAUUUUCAUGUUGCGA